CGUAGCCACGGGAAUACGAAGGGUGCAAGCGUUACUCGGAAUUACUGGGCGUAAAGCGUGCGUAGGUGGUGGUUUAAGUCCGUUGUGAAAGCCCUGGGCUCAACCUGGGAAUUGCAGUGGAUACUGGGUCACUAGAGUGUGGUAGAGGAUAGUGGAAUUUCCGGUGUAGCAGUGAAAUGCGUAGAGAUCGGAAGGAACAUCUGUGGCGAAGGCGACUAUCUGGGCCAACACUGACACUGAGGCACGAAAGCGUGGGGAGCAAACAGGAUUAGAUACCCCAGUAGUCCCUGUCUCUUAUACC
RNAcentral lists this ribosomal RNA (301 nucleotides) under uncultured bacterium. Its description in RNAcentral is "partial 16S ribosomal RNA". It matches the Rfam family "Bacterial small subunit ribosomal RNA", at positions 510 to 808 of the family's 1533-position model. The record is from RNAcentral.